Molecule: ribosomal RNA, 497 nt
Filed under: uncultured bacterium
Lineage: Bacteria
Description: partial 16S ribosomal RNA
Rfam family: Bacterial small subunit ribosomal RNA
Source: RNAcentral
GAUGAACGCUGGCGGCGUGCCUAAUACAUGCAAGUCGAGCGAACAGAUGAGGAGCUUGCUCCUCUGACGUUAGCGGCGGACGGGUGAGUAACACGUGGAUAACCUACCUAUAAGACUGGGAUAACUUCGGGGAACCGGAGCUAAUACCGGAUAAUAUAUUGAACCGCAUGGUUCAAUAGUGAAAGACGGUUUUGCUGUCACUUAUAGAUGGAUCCGCGCCGCAUUAGCUAGUUGGUAAGGUAACGGCUUACCAAGGCAACGAUGCGUAGCCGACCUGAGAGGGUGAUCGGCCACACUGGAACUGAGACACGGUCCAGACUCCUACGGGAGGCAGCAGUAGGGAAUCUUCCGCAAUGGGCGAAAGCCUGACGGAGCAACGCCGCGUGAGUGAUGAAGGUCUUCGGAUCGUAAAACUCUGUUAUUAGGGAAGAACAAAUGUGUAAGUAACUAUGCACGUCUUGACGGUACCCAAUCAGAAAGCCACGGCUAACUACGUG